ACACUCCUGCGGGAGGCAGCAGUGGGGAAUUUUGGACAAUGGGCGAAAGCCUGAUCCAGCAAUGCCGCGUGUGUGAAGAAGGCCUUCGGGUUGUAAAGCACUUUUGUCCGGAAAGAAAUCCUUGGCUCUAAUACAGUCGAGGGAUGACGGUACCGGAAGAAUAAGCACCGGCUAACUACGUGCCAGCAGCCGCGGUAAUACGUAGGGUGCGAGCGUUAAUCGGAAUUACUGGGCGUAAAGCGUGCGCAGGCGGUUUGCUAAGACCGAUGUGAAAUCCCCGGGCUCAACCUGGGAACUGCAUUGGUGACUGGCAGGCUAGAGUAUGGCAGAGGGGGGUAGAAUUCCACGUGUAGCAGUGAAAUGCGUAGAGAUGUGGAGGAAUACCGAUGGCGAAGGCAGCCCCCUGGGCCAAUACUGACGCUCAUGCACGAAAGCGUGGGGAGCAAACAGGAUUAGAUACCCCGGUAGUCCC
This 472-nucleotide ribosomal RNA is filed under the name uncultured organism. RNAcentral's name for it is "partial 16S ribosomal RNA". It matches the Rfam family "Bacterial small subunit ribosomal RNA", at positions 333 to 797 of the family's 1533-position model. The record is from RNAcentral.